Molecule: transfer RNA, 91 nt
Filed under: Actinomycetes bacterium
Lineage: Bacteria; Bacillati; Actinomycetota; Actinomycetes
Description: Actinobacteria bacterium tRNA-Leu
Rfam family: tRNA
About the family: Transfer RNA (tRNA) molecules are approximately 80 nucleotides in length.
Source: RNAcentral
GCCGCGAUGGUGGAAUUUUGGUAGACACGCUAGGUUGAGGGCCUAGUGGCCGUCAAAGGCCGUGGGAGUUCGAAUCUCCCUCGCGGCACAA